CCUACGGGAGGCUGCAGUGAGGAAUAUUGGUCAAUGGCCGGGAGCCUGAACCAGCCAAGUAGCGUGCAGGAUGACGGCCCUACGGGUUGUAAACUGCUUUUAUCCGGGAAUAACGCGCCUUACGUGUCGUGCUUUGUAUGUACCGUAUGAAUAAGGACCGGCUAAUUCCGUGCCAGCAGCCGCGGUAAUACGGAAGGUCCGGGCGUUAUCCGGAUUUAUUGGGUUUAAAGGGAGCGUAGGCCGGAUGCCAAGCGUGCUGUUAAAUUUCCGGGCCCAACCCGGGCCUCGCAGUGCGAACUGGGGUGCUUGAGUCCGCGGAAGGCAGGCGGAAUGCGUGGUGUAGCGGUGAAAUGCUUAGAUAUGACGAAGAACCCCGAUUGCGAAGGCAGCUUGCUGCAGCGGAACUGACGCUGAUGCUCGAAAGCGUGGGUAUCGAACAGGAUUAGAUACCCUGGUAGUC
Molecule: ribosomal RNA, 460 nt
Filed under: uncultured bacterium
Lineage: Bacteria
Description: partial 16S ribosomal RNA
Rfam family: Bacterial small subunit ribosomal RNA
Source: RNAcentral